RNAcentral lists this ribosomal RNA (763 nucleotides) under uncultured Streptococcus sp. RNAcentral's name for it is "bacterial SSU rRNA". It matches the Rfam family "Bacterial small subunit ribosomal RNA", at positions 28 to 776 of the family's 1533-position model. Lineage: Bacteria; Bacillati; Bacillota; Bacilli; Lactobacillales; Streptococcaceae. The record is from RNAcentral.
GACGAACGCUGGCGGCGUGCCUAAUACAUGCAAGUAGAACGCUGAAGGAGGAGCUUGCUCUUCUGGAUGAGUUGCGAACGGGUGAGUAACGCGUAGGUAACCUGCCUGGUAGCGGGGGAUAACUAUUGGAAACGAUAGCUAAUACCGCAUAACAGUAGAUAUUGCAUGAUAUCUGCUUGAAAGGUGCAAUUGCAUCACUACCAGAUGGACCUGCGUUGUAUUAGCUAGUUGGUGGGGUAACGGCUCACCAAGGCGACGAUACAUAGCCGACCUGAGAGGGUGAUCGGCCACACUGGGACUGAGACACGGCCCAGACUCCUACGGGAGGCAGCAGUAGGGAAUCUUCGGCAAUGGACGGAAGUCUGACCGAGCAACGCCGCGUGAGUGAAGAAGGUUUUCGGAUCGUAAAGCUCUGUUGUAAGAGAAGAACGAGUGUGAGAGUGGAAAGUUCACACUGUGACGGUAUCUUACCAGAAAGGGACGGCUAACUACGUGCCAGCAGCCGCGGUAAUACGUAGGUCCCGAGCGUUGUCCGGAUUUAUUGGGCGUAAAGCGAGCGCAGGCGGUUAGAUAAGUCUGAAGUUAAAGGCUGUGGCUUAACCAUAGUACGCUUUGGAAACUGUUUAACUUGAGUGCAAGAGGGGAGAGUGGAAUUCCAUGUGUAGCGGUGAAAUGCGUAGAUAUAUGGAGGAACACCGGUGGCGAAAGCGGCUCUCUGGCUUGUAACUGACGCUGAGGCUCGAAAGCGUGGGGAGCAAACAGG